Molecule: ribosomal RNA, 429 nt
Filed under: Chloroflexota bacterium
Lineage: Bacteria; Bacillati; Chloroflexota
Description: Chloroflexi bacterium partial 16S ribosomal RNA
Rfam family: Bacterial small subunit ribosomal RNA
Source: RNAcentral
UAGGGAAUCUUCGGCAAUGGACGAAAGUCUGACCGAGCAACGCCGCGUGAGUGAAGAAGGUUUUCGGAUCGUAAAACUCUGUUGUUAGAGAAGAACAAGGACGUUAGUAACUGAACGUCCCCUGACGGCAUCUAACCAGAAAGCCACGGCUAACUACGUGCCAGCAGCCGCGGUAAUACGUAGGUGGCAAGCGUUGUCCGGAUUUAUUGGGCGUAAAGCGAGCGCAGGCGGUUUGUUAAGUCAGAUGUGAAAUCCCCGGGCUCAACCUGGGAACUGCAUCUGAUACUGGCAAGCUUGAGUCUCGUAGAGGGGGGUAGAAUUCCAGGUGUAGCGGUGAAAUGCGUAGAGAUCUGGAGGAAUACCGGUGGCGAAGGCGGCCCCCUGGACGAAGACUGACGCUCAGGUGCGAAAGCGUGGGGAGCAAACAGG